UGUGUGUGGGUGUGUGUGUGUGGUGGGGGUGCCGUUUCUUUAAAGAUGUGUGUACACACACAUCUGAUAGUGAGUGAGUGAGUGUGUGUGUGUCUGUGUGUGUGUAGGUAUGGGAAACUGCCACGGUGCAGCAUGCCUCUGAAUAUCCUUGAACGUCCUGGUUUCUGCGUGGUCAAGCCUGUGCUCCCCCACCUGGGGCAGGGGGCGAGUGAUGGUUGUGGUAGUGCUGGGGGGGUCGGGUCUUGGCCAUGCAAACGGGAGAGACCUUGAGUUGUGGGCGUGAGUAGGGAGAAGGGGCAGGCUAAGACGGGGGCUCUGGGAGGCGAGCUGCAGAGACCCUGCUCUUGGUUUUAGCUCCAAUCCCGGGCCUCUUCCCGACUCCCUUUUUUGCCCCACUGGUCUGGGAGCUGCGGGGCUGCUGGAGGGGCUCCCAGGGCUAGUUCCGGGGCGGGGCCGGGAGGAGGGAGGGUGCGGAGCCAGGAGGCGGUCAGGACCCGGGGCAGCUCCCUUGGCCCGGCGGGGCGGGCCGGGCCCCGCCCGGCGGGGAACCGGGGACUCCCCCGAGGAGAGACUGGACACCUCACCGAUGGAUGGGCCAGGAUCAAUGAGAGUCAGCCCUAGGGAGCGUCAGGGGACUGCACCUGUCACCGAAGAUCGGGACGGGAGGCUCUGGAACUGGAAGGUCCUGACAGGAGCCAGAUUUCCUAGCUGCAAAUGGGUGCUAAAAAGUCCCAACAGAAAGAUGGAGGAAAAAAAGGUGACUCCAACUGCAAUGCCAAAGAAUAAAGAGCCACUGCUUUUGUCCACCAAUCCAUCAUCCACUCUGGGGAAAGCCAGCUGCCAUAUUUUGAACAGCCCUAUGGAGACAGCUUACAACAGACAACUUAGUGAGAAAUGGAGGUCUCCAGAUAACAACCUGAGAAAAACUGAGGCUCAGCCAGAAAAUAAUAGAAAGGAAAGACUGCAGAGGGACUUGGUGCCAGAAGGCUUCAGAGACAGCUGUCCCUGCAGCACGUGGAUCCCUCCUUCCCCAGGCGUGACUGCCUUUCCUGGCAGGUACUCCAAGCCACCAACGGAACAAAGAAGAAACAAAGGUAUAAUGAGCAAGCUUCUUCCACUAUACACUACAGACAAUAGGUGCAAUAUUUUGAAAAAAAGAAAAAAAAUCUGUCUCAUUAGUUAA
Molecule: long non-coding RNA, 1183 nt
Filed under: Mustela putorius furo (domestic ferret)
Lineage: Eukaryota; Metazoa; Chordata; Mammalia; Carnivora; Mustelidae
Description: lncRNA (ENSMPUG00000024604.1)
Source: RNAcentral